Molecule: ribosomal RNA, 463 nt
Filed under: uncultured bacterium
Lineage: Bacteria
Description: partial 16S ribosomal RNA
Rfam family: Bacterial small subunit ribosomal RNA
Source: RNAcentral
GAUGAACGCUGACAGAAUGCUUAACACAUGCAAGUCUUUGGCGAAUCUGUGCUUGCACAGGCUAGCCAAGGCGGACGGGUGAGUAACGCGUAAAGAACUUGCCCUGCAGACAGGGAUAACAGACGGAAACGACUGAUAACACCUGAUACAGUUGCCGGCACGCAUGUGCCUGGCAAUGAAAAGAGAUGCUGCAGGAGAGCUUUGCGUCCUAUUAGCUUGUUGGUGAGGUGACGGCUCACCAAGGCGAUGAUAGGGAGCCGGCCUGAGAGGGUGAACGGCCAAAAGGGGACUGAGAUGCGGCCCUUACGCCUACGGGAGGAAGCAGUGGGGAAUAUUGGACAAUGGGGGCAACCCUGAUCAAGCAAUUCUGUGCGCACGAAGAAGGUUUUCGGAUUGUAAAGUGCUUUCAGCAGGGAAGAAGAAAGUGACGGUACCUGCAGAAGAAGCGACGGCUAAAUACGUG